GGGGUUGUAGCCAAGCCCGGUUAAAGGCAGCUGAUUCCAGACCAGCGACUUGAAGGUUCGAAUCCUUCCAACCCCA
RNAcentral lists this transfer RNA (76 nucleotides) under Haloarcula vallismortis. RNAcentral's name for it is "tRNA_Trp_CCA". It matches the Rfam family "tRNA". Rfam says of the family: Transfer RNA (tRNA) molecules are approximately 80 nucleotides in length. Their secondary structure includes four short double-helical elements and three loops (D, anti-codon, and T loops). RNAcentral also lists the same sequence under 1 other name. The record is from RNAcentral. Lineage: Archaea; Methanobacteriati; Methanobacteriota; Halobacteria; Halobacteriales; Haloarculaceae.